RNAcentral lists this ribosomal RNA (253 nucleotides) under uncultured bacterium. Its description in RNAcentral is "partial 16S ribosomal RNA". It matches the Rfam family "Bacterial small subunit ribosomal RNA", at positions 524 to 776 of the family's 1533-position model. The record is from RNAcentral.
UACGGAGGGUGCAAGCGUUAUCCGGAUUCACUGGGCUUAAAGGGUGCGUAGGCGGGUUGGUAAGUCAGUGGUGAAAUCUCAGAGCUUAACUCUGAAACUGCCAUUGAUACUAUCUAUCUUGAAUUCUCUGGAGGUGAGCGGAAUAUGUCAUGUAGCGGUGAAAUGCUUAGAUAUGACAUAGAACACCCAUUGCGAAGGCAGCUCACUACGGAACAAUUGACGCUGAGGCACGAAAGCGUGAGGAUCAAACAGG